This 334-nucleotide unclassified non-coding RNA is filed under the name Moritella viscosa. Its description in RNAcentral is "putative sRNA". Lineage: Bacteria; Pseudomonadati; Pseudomonadota; Gammaproteobacteria; Alteromonadales; Moritellaceae. The record is from RNAcentral.
AUAAUCAAGUGUUAUAAAACAAUAAACUUUUCCAUGCUGUUUUUGGUAUUUCAAACUAUAGGCUAGCGAUUGAUGGUAAAACACCACUUGUGAUAGCUAAAGUAGUUAAAACAGUAAAAACGGCUAUAAAUUCUUUCAUGAUAAUGUCCUUGAUGCUGAUGGGUUGAGUACAUUAUGCACACAUUUUAUUCAUUUGGCUAGCUAUUUAUAAGAAAAGUGUAACUUUUGGUGCUUUGGGGGCUUGAUACAAUCGAAGUGCUGAUUAGUGUAUGUGUUAAUGUUUUUAUCAGUGUCAUCUGUAGCGACUCAUGAUGUUUUUGUUGUUAAACGUAUU